Molecule: transfer RNA, 65 nt
Filed under: Desmognathus conanti
Lineage: Eukaryota; Metazoa; Chordata; Amphibia; Caudata; Plethodontidae
Description: tRNA-Cys
Source: RNAcentral
GUCCUGUGGUGUACAGCACAUAAAAUUGCAAAUUUUAAAGAGCAGAAUGACUCCUGCCGGGGCUU